AGAGCAUCUGUCUCUCUCUCUCUCGCUCACAUACAUACAGUCAUUGCUCCCUCCCUCCCCACACACACGCUCGAGCCUUGCAAGUGCAUCCCCCCGAAGCUCGAGCAACGCUGUCCCACGAGCAGACGAUUUCAGCACCUAUUUCAGCACAGGACAGCAUCCUGCACCGUCUCAUGGCAACAUGGCGACUGAGGCCUUGGAGUCGAUGGCAGAGCUGUGCUGAUUUUCUCUGGUGGUCUGCCAGCAGUCUUGUCCAAGUUCCAUCAAUCAUGCGCAUGCACACACGCAAGUACACACACACACACACACACACACACACACACACACACACUGGUGACACAUCUCAUGUCCAAAGCCCAUCAAUUAUCCAUGACAUAUUUAAUGUGAACAGGCUGCUGCAGUUUGUUACCAUCAGCCACUGGAGUCUCAAAUGAACAGCACAUUUUACACACACACACACACACACACACAUACACACACACACACACACACACACACACACACACAGUCUCAUAUAGGCCUGAGUCAGUUGCCUAGAACAAUGUUUCCUAAAUGUUGAGUCAAGACUAAAUGCUGAGUUGUUUCCUAUUAGACCACAACUGAAGACUAGUUUGAUUAAAUAGAACUCUGAGAUAAAAUUACAAUGGCUGUUCUGUGGUCAUAAUAAUAAUAUCUUGUUUGUUAUAUCUUGCAAUUUGACAAGAAUUGCAGGGUACUACAUCCAGAGGAAAACAGUCAUACCAAGCUGGUUGUUGAGAAGGAAAGGGUGCCUUCUGUACAAGGUCCUUGUAUGCUGACUGUCCGGGAAUAUUUCCCACACAGUGUGUGUGGGGGGGCUUGUAUACCCUGCUGACAGGGUCCACACCAUGUCUGAGACAACACUGAGGCACACUGUCACACUGAUGAACUGAAGAGAGGACCACAGUAAUACACAGGCGAGAGAGAGAGAGACAGACAGACAGACCGAGUGAGAGGAAGAGAGACCCAGACAGACAGACAGACUGAAGUAGAUAGAGAGCUUACAGAGAGGAAGAAAGAGGAGAGAUGGAGGUGGGGCCAAUGAAAAGGGAUGAAAGGAGAUAAGCAUGGAGGGAGAGAGCGAGCCAUACAGUGAGACAGAAAACAGAAGCGAUGUGUAAUGAUCUAGUAAUUGUUCUCUCCAAUCAGUCCCCUCUAAGGAAUAAUGUAAUUUAUGUUUGUGUGUGUGUGUGUGUGUAUGACCAUGCAUAUGUGAAUGCGUGCAGAGUUACUGUUGUGUAACUAGCCUGUUUUUUUUCAUUUGUAACAUUUUAACAAGAAAAGAAAAGUAUUGCACAUUUGGUUUCUUCUGUAAGUAAUCUGUGUUGUUGUUUCCAAGCAGCCUGUUCCUCUUGAAUGAUACAGUAGGGCAAAAUGUUGAUUUCUGCCUAAAUAGACAUACCCAAACAUAAUUAUAUAAGGGCACAAGGCGAGACUCAAAUGCAGACACAGGAGGCAGAUGGAUGAGCUCCGAUAUUUAUUACACCAAAAGGGGUGGGUAAAAGGCAGGUCGGGGACAGGCGAGAGUUCAUAAACCAGGUCAGAGUCAAAACAGUACAUUUUACAUUUACAUUUAAGUCAUUUAGCAGACGCUCUUAUCCAGAGCGACUUACAAAUUGGUGCAUUCACCUUAUGAUAUCCAGUGGGACAACCACUUUACAAUAGUGCAUCUAAAUCUUUUAAGGGGGGGGGGGGUUAGAAGGAUUACUUUAUCCUAUCCCAGGUAUUCCUGUACCAGGGGAUAGGCAGUCUCGAGGUCAGAACAGGCAGAGUGGUCAGGCAGGCGGAUUCGGCGUCAGGACAGGCAAGGGUCAAAACCAGGAGGGCUAGGAAAAAACAGAGACUGGGAAAAAUAGGAGCUAGGAGAAACAGAGACAGGAAACAGGGAUAAAUACACUGGGGACUAAUGGGGAAACAGGAGACACCUGCAGGUGGGUGGAGACAAUCACCAAGACAGGUGAAACAGAUCAGGGCGUGAC
Long non-coding RNA from Salmo trutta (river trout), 1997 nucleotides. NCBI's taxonomy places the organism in Eukaryota, Metazoa, Chordata, Actinopteri, Salmoniformes, Salmonidae. The record is from Ensembl.